This 1206-nucleotide long non-coding RNA is filed under the name Monodelphis domestica (gray short-tailed opossum). Its description in RNAcentral is "lncRNA (ENSMODG00000037982.1)". Lineage: Eukaryota; Metazoa; Chordata; Mammalia; Didelphimorphia; Didelphidae. The record is from RNAcentral.
AAGAGAUUACAGCUUAUGGAUGUGACAUCAGGGUUAGCUUUUCUGAGUCCCAACAUGUCAGAAUCUCAACUCCAGGGAAUCUCAAGAGACUGAAACCCCAUGGUGCAGUUUUUAUGGUUCAGAACCAUUCUCCUCUGUUCCCUUUCUUGACAUUUGACCCAUUUCGAAAGAAAGGAGUAGAAGGUUUCUCUGAGGCUUUGAACAUGAAAUUCUCCCACACUCUAGCCAAAUACUUUGCCAAGAGAGCUGACAUAAAAGUGGUUAUGAAGGGAGUGAUGACAGUUUAAACUUCUGAUGAUUUCAUCCUAAAGCAUUUAAGUGUGGAGCAGGUAUUUCAGCUGGGUUAAUUUAGGUGGACAUUCCAAUGCUGGCCCUUUCUACCUAUGUCUUCCUCUUGCUCAUUGCAGUCAGCAAGCCUGCUCUUCUCUUGGAUUCUGGCCAUGCUACAUUGUUGUCACUCUGCAGUAGAGGUUGAAUUGCAAGAAGGAAGAUUUAGGGAUGUAGCAAGAAUUUUUUCCUGUUACAUGGGAAAUCGCAAGUGACAAGAAGGAGUUUGUUUGAUAAGACUAUCUAGAUUUUAUCUUGGAAAUGACUCAGAGAAACUAAUCCUGAUUGGAUACAUCUGGCAAAAGAAUGCUUAUCUCCACAUCACUUUUCUGGCCUUGGGGCUCAGAAUAAGAAUAAUACCCUUCUUAUAUAUAGCACCUUUUAAACAAAGACUUAAAACAUCUGAUGGUUCUGCCCCAAGUAUAACUAUUCCAAUUUUUUCUGAUGGUGGAAGAAUAGAGAAGUUAUCUAAACACCAAUUCUACAAUAAGUUAGUGAAGCAAUUCAGGAUUUUCUUUUUCCUAAGCCUCAGUUGGACUCUUGUAUUAAUUGAAAAUGAAGAUAAGAUCUCUUUGCUAACCAGCUGCUGCUCUCUGCUGCCAUCUGCUGCUAACCAACUGCAAAAUAGCUCCUUCCUUUGGUAAGGGGAGGAGUCUAGCUUUUCAGCUUGAUAAUAGGAGGUUAUCUUUAGCUCUUUUGUGAUGCAAACCCCAGCCAGUAACUCCCAUCCAAUUAUCUAAAGAAAAUCUUAGGAAUUUUUUAAGUUGGUCUUUUGAAAUUUUUUUUUUAUUGAGUACUACCCAUUUGGGUCCCCCAUUCUAAACUUUAAGAUAAUAUGUGAAAAAAAAAGUUCAAUUUCUGUUUUAUCCAUGAGUCCCU